GGAUUAGAUACCCUGGUAGUCCACGCCGUAAACGAUGAUUACUGGUUGUGUGCGAUAUACAGUGCGCGACUGAGGGAAACCAUUAAGUAAUCCACCUGGGGAGUACGUUCGCAAGAAUGAAACUCAAAGGAAUUGACGGGGGCCCGCACAAGCGGAGGAACAUGUGGUUUAAUUCGAUGAUACGCGAGGAACCUUACCUGGGCUUAAAUGUAGAGUGCAUGGCUUGGAAACAGGCCUUUCCUUCGGGACUCUUUACAAGGUGCUGCAUGGUUGUCGUCAGCUCGUGCCG
Molecule: ribosomal RNA, 289 nt
Filed under: uncultured bacterium
Lineage: Bacteria
Description: partial 16S ribosomal RNA
Rfam family: Bacterial small subunit ribosomal RNA
Source: RNAcentral